Molecule: ribosomal RNA, 253 nt
Filed under: uncultured prokaryote
Description: partial 16S ribosomal RNA
Rfam family: Bacterial small subunit ribosomal RNA
Source: RNAcentral
ACGUAGGGGGCAAGCGUUGUCCGGAAUUAUUGGGCGUAAAGGGCGCGCAGGCGGUCUUUUAAGUCUGAUGUGAAAUCUCGCAGCUUAACUGCGAGCGGUCAUUGGAAACUGGAUGGCUUGAGGACAGAAGAGGAGAGUGGAAUUCCACGUGUAGCGGUGAAAUGCGUAGAGAUGUGGAGGAAGACCGGUGGCGAAGGCGGCCUGCUGGGCAGAUACUGACACUGAGGCGCGACAGCGUGGGGAGCAAACAGGA